This 70-nucleotide transfer RNA is filed under the name Dipodomys ordii (Ord's kangaroo rat). It matches the Rfam family "tRNA". From Rfam's summary of the family: Transfer RNA (tRNA) molecules are approximately 80 nucleotides in length. The record is from Rfam by way of RNAcentral. Lineage: Eukaryota; Metazoa; Chordata; Mammalia; Rodentia; Heteromyidae.
GGGAAUGUGGCUUAGUGGUAGAGUGCUUGCCUACAAUGCAUGAAGCCCUGGGUUUGAUUCCUCAUUACCA